AGAGCUUGAUCCUGGCUCAGGACGAACGCUGACGGUGUGCUUUAGACAUGCAAGUCGAACGAGAAAGCCCUUCGGGGUGAGUACAGUGGCGAACGGGUGAGUAACACGUGGGCAAUCUGCCCCUCGCAGGGGGACAACCGGGGGAAACCCCGGCUAAUACCCCGUACGCUUGUUGAGUCGCAUGGCUCUACAAGGAAAGGUAGCUUCGGCCAUCCGGCGAGGGAUGAGCCCGCGGUGCAUUAGCUAGUUGGUGAGGUAACGGCUUACCAAGGCGACGAUGCAUAGCUGGUCUGAGAGGAUGAUCAGCCACACUGGGACUGAGACACGGCCCAGACUCCUACGGGAGGCAGCAGUCGGGAAUCUUGCGCAAUGGGCGAAAGCCUGACGCAGCAACACCGUGUGAGCGACGAAGGCCUUCGGGUCGUAAAGCCCUGUUGAUAGGGACGAAGGGCGAAGGGUUAAUAGCCCCUAACCUGACGGUACCUUUCGAGGAAGCCCCGGCUAACUACGUGCCAGCAGCGGCGGUAAUAC
This 531-nucleotide ribosomal RNA is filed under the name uncultured bacterium. RNAcentral describes it as "bacterial SSU rRNA". It matches the Rfam family "Bacterial small subunit ribosomal RNA", at positions 8 to 526 of the family's 1533-position model. The record is from RNAcentral.